RNAcentral lists this small RNA (571 nucleotides) under Pongo abelii (Sumatran orangutan). Its description in RNAcentral is "processed transcript". The record is from RNAcentral. Lineage: Eukaryota; Metazoa; Chordata; Mammalia; Primates; Hominidae.
UCACAUAAUUUGUAUGCAGUGUGAAGGAGCAGAAGGCAUCUUCUCACUGUGCUGCAAAUCUUUAUAGCCUUUACAAUACGGACUUCUGUGUAUAUGUUAUACUGAUUCUACUCUGCUUUUAUCCUUUGGAGCCUGGGAGACUCCCCAAAAAGAUUGAAGUUUAUAAUUGCUGAGAAGGAAAUAAAGGUGUGGUGGAAAGGUCUUCCAGAACCAGAGGCUAAGCACACAGCAGUACAAAUAUAAAUUCUUUAUUCCAGCUUCCAGAAUUCCUCCUCUUCAGCCUUGCCUGCUCACUGGAAUAAUGAAGCAAUUAAACAGUGGUGUAAAGAAGUUCCAUCCAGUGGUUGAAGUUCAGUAGAAAACAAGGAAAUAGGCUGAUGUAUAUGAAAUACACCAUCUGCACUCCGAGUCCUUCCCAGGUUCACUAAAGGGGGAGGAGGGGACACCGUUUUAGAUUUAAUUUGUACUGUACCUGAUAUGAUAUGAUUGUGAUAGUUUUCCAAUGAAUAAUUGUUAAUCUUACCUAAUUAAAAUAAUUAUAUGUUAAAUAAAAUAUGCAGAUGUUAAAUUG